GCCGGAGUGGUGGAAGCGGUAGACACGGCGAGCUUAAACCUCGUUGCCUCCACGGAGGCGUGCGGGUUCAAGUCCCGCCUCCGGCACGA
Molecule: transfer RNA, 89 nt
Filed under: Actinobacteria bacterium QS_8_72_14
Lineage: Bacteria; Bacillati; Actinomycetota
Description: tRNA-Leu
Rfam family: tRNA
About the family: Transfer RNA (tRNA) molecules are approximately 80 nucleotides in length. Their secondary structure includes four short double-helical elements and three loops (D, anti-codon, and T loops). Further hydrogen bonds mediate the characteristic L-shaped molecular structure. tRNAs have two regions of fundamental functional importance: the anti-codon, which is responsible for specific mRNA codon recognition, and the 3' end, to which the tRNAs corresponding amino acid is attached (by aminoacyl-tRNA synthetases). tRNAs cope with the degeneracy of the genetic code in two manners: having more than one tRNA (with a specific anti-codon) for a particular amino acid; and 'wobble' base-pairing, i.e. permitting non-standard base-pairing at the 3rd anti-codon position.
Source: RNAcentral